This 465-nucleotide ribosomal RNA is filed under the name uncultured bacterium. Its description in RNAcentral is "partial 16S ribosomal RNA". It matches the Rfam family "Bacterial small subunit ribosomal RNA", at positions 338 to 795 of the family's 1533-position model. The record is from RNAcentral.
CCUACGGGCGGCAGCAGUGGGGAAUAUUGCGCAAUGGGCGAAAGCCUGACGCAGCGACGCCGCGUGAGGGAGGAAGGUAUUCAGAUCGUAAACCUCUGUCAGCCGGGAAGCACGGUCACUGUGCUAAUCAGCAGUGAAUUGACGGUACCUGCAAGGGAAGCACCGGCUAACUCCGGGCCAGCCGCCGCGGUAAUACGGAGGGUGCGAGCGUUAAUCGGAAUUAGUGGGCGUAAAGCGCUCGUAGGCGGUAUGUCAAGUCAAGGGUGAAAUCCCCGCGCUCAACGUGGGAACUGCCUUUGAAACUGGCAAACUGGAGUGUGUGAGAGGAUAGUGGAAUUCCAGGUGUAGGAGUGAAAUCCGUAGAUAUCUGGAGGAACAUCAGUGGCGAAGGCGACUAUCUGGCACAUAACUGACGCUGAGGAGCGAAAGCGUGGGUAGCAAACAGGAUUAGAUACCCUUGUAGUC